RNAcentral lists this ribosomal RNA (390 nucleotides) under uncultured bacterium. RNAcentral describes it as "bacterial SSU rRNA". It matches the Rfam family "Bacterial small subunit ribosomal RNA", at positions 28 to 410 of the family's 1533-position model. The record is from RNAcentral.
GACGAACGCUGGCGGCGCGCUUAACACAUGCAAGUCGAGCGAGAACCAGACCUUCGGGUCUGGGGAAAGCGGCGAACGGGUGAGUAACACGUGGGUAACCCACCCUUGGUACCGGGAUAGCCCGAGGAAACUCGGAUUAAUACCGGAUGGCCCAACAGCUCUUCGGGGCGGUUGGAAAAGGUAGCUUCGGCCUCCGACCAAGGACGGGCCCGCGGCGGAUUAGCUUGUUGGUGAGGUAACGGCUCACCAAGGCUUCGAUCCGUAGCGGUCUGAGAGGACGAUCAGCCACACUGGGACUGAGACACGGCCCAGACUCCUACGGGAGGCAGCAGGUGGGGAAUUUUGGUACAAUGGGGGCAACCCUGAUCCAGCCAUGCCGCGUGCGGGAAG